RNAcentral lists this ribosomal RNA (253 nucleotides) under uncultured bacterium. RNAcentral describes it as "partial 16S ribosomal RNA". It matches the Rfam family "Bacterial small subunit ribosomal RNA", at positions 524 to 776 of the family's 1533-position model. The record is from RNAcentral.
UACGAAGGGGACUAGCGUUGUUCGGAUUUACUGGGCGUAAAGCGCGCGUAGGCGGAUCGCUAAGUCAGGGGUGAAAUGCCAAGGCUCAACCUUGGAACUGCCUUUGAUACUGACGAUCUGGAGAUUGGGAGAGGUGAGUGGAAUUCCGAGUGUAGAGGUGAAAUUCGUAGAUAUUCGCAAGAACACCAGUGGCGAAGGCGGCUGUCUGGUCCGGUUCUGACGCUGAGGCGCGAAAGCGUGGGGAGCAAACAGG